GAUGAACGCUGGCGGCGUGCCUAAUACAUGCAAGUCGAGCGAAUAGACGAGGAGCUUGCUCCUUUGACGUUAGCGGCUGACGGGUGAGUAACACGUAGGUAACCUACCUAUAAGACUGGGAUAACUUCGGGAAACCGGAGCUACUACCGGAUAAUAUUUCGUACCGCAUGGUUCGAUAGUGAAAGAUGGCUUUGCUAUCACUUAUAGAUGGACCUGCGCCGUAUUAGAUAGUUGGUAAGGUAACGGCUUACCAAGGCAACGAUACGUAGCCGACCUGAGAGGGUGAUCGGCCACACUGGAACUGAGACACGGUCCAGACUCCUACGGGAGGCAGCAGUAGGGAAUCUUCCGCAAUGGGCGAAAGCCUGACGGAGCAACGCCGCGUGAGUGAUGAAGGUCUUCGGAUCGUAAAACUCUGUUAUUAGGGAAGAACAAACGUGUAAGUAACUGUGCACGUCUUGACGGUACCUAAUCAGAAAGCCACGGCUAACUACGUG
RNAcentral lists this ribosomal RNA (497 nucleotides) under uncultured bacterium. RNAcentral describes it as "partial 16S ribosomal RNA". It matches the Rfam family "Bacterial small subunit ribosomal RNA", at positions 28 to 507 of the family's 1533-position model. The record is from RNAcentral.